GGCGAUAAAGCUGCCGGAGUCCGCGGCGGCGGAGGCGGCUGCGGCGAGCAAGGAGGCUGACGACGCACAAUGCAAAGACGGCUUUUCAGAGCAGCCAGUGGGGCAGGACAAUGUUUUUCAUCAAAUGUCCUUAGAUUUGGAGGAGGCCAGGAAAGCGGAAGAGACCUCCAGCUGCACAACGACCUGUCCCCCACACCCAACCACAAGUUUAUGAAGGGAUGCAGAACAGCAUGAAUACUGCAAAAGAUGCUCUGUGCAUCAGAGAAGUGUCCUUACCCGAAUGCAGGUGGACAAGCAGUUAAACACAGUGGCUUUGAGUGUGAAGGCUUCUCCUCGCACCACAGAAUAAGGAAGGAACGUCCAGAAGAGAGAGAUUUAAAUUGCUUUCAGCUAAGCUGUAGACCUCUAGCAGAUGAACGACAUAUUUUCCUGAAGGACUUGCUUCGGUGUGGAAGUGAUUCCGCUGUGAGUUGUGUCUUUUGCGUUGUUGCACUCUUCAUCAUAUUCAUCCGCAGGACCUCCAGCUCUAAAGGGUGUGAAGAGGAUACUGACCCACCAGAAAGAGACCCCACUGCUAGAACGAAUAAGAUGUGCUGAAAGCCGGAGCAUAACUUGGCCAUUCCCAAGAUUUAACAACAAACUAACUACCCAUCAUUAACAGUAAAGAAAGAAAACAAUCAGUAAGAGAUUAUAUAGACCUAAGAGAUGUUACAGACCGAAGAAGAACCUAUGGAGGAAGACAGGAAGAUGAGAGAGAUUUGAAGAUGGUAUGUGGCUGAAUUUGAAGAUAGAGAAAGGAACCGCAAGCAAAGAAUGCAAGAGGUCUCUAGAAGCUGGAAAAGGCAAGGAAAGAGUCUCCCCUCAAGCUCCAGCAGGAAUGCAGUCCUGACACCUUGAGUUUAGCCUAGUGAGACUUCUGACCUCCAGAACUAGAAGAUACAAGUGGUGUUUUAAGGCACUAAAACGAAGAACUAGAAGUAUUGUUUUAAGCCCAUAAAUUUGUGAUAAUCUGUUACAGUAGUAAUAGGCAAUGCAUACACAAGCACACAAAGUAAAAUUUUUCUGUGGUUAUUUUCCAUAUUUUUUCAGUUAUUUUCUGCCUUUUGAAGACAUUAAAGACAUAAAAUGAAUAUGUAUUAGUUUAGGAAUAAAAUUUAAAAUGUAGGAAUGCUAUAAAAGAAGAAAAAAUUUUAACUGGGCUAAAGCAAACCCAGUAUGUCAUCCUAUUACAUCAGCUUCUUCAUCUUUGGAUGAAGAGGUUGGUGACUGUUUCUUCUAAUGUGAGAAUAGCUCCAAAUUGCUAAAUUGUUCAGAAUUUGACAAGAUGAAAGAGGAAAGAAAAAGGAAAUCUUGAAAACAUUUACUGUUUCCUUGUUCAAUGGAUAACACAUGGAUUCCUGAUUGGGAGAUUUUUCCUCUUGCUUUGAUCUGAAGGCAGAAGGAAAUAUAUUCAUUAUUGUUUAAAAGAAUACAUUUUAACCUAACUUUAAAACAUUCAUGAUAUAUUUGUGAACCAUAAUCU
This 1522-nucleotide long non-coding RNA is filed under the name Homo sapiens (human). RNAcentral's name for it is "HSALNT0366603". The record is from RNAcentral. Lineage: Eukaryota; Metazoa; Chordata; Mammalia; Primates; Hominidae.